AAUCUCCCACCACAAGCGGUUUUUAUGAAACGGCUUGGCGGACGGGGUCUUGAUGGGUGCUGCUGCCUGUGCUUGACCACAGGCUCGCCCGAAAUGCAUGAGCGCCUUGGGACACUUUGCAUCCGCCUCUCUUGUUGGGAGGAGGCGGCCAAGCAGUGUUUCUCCUGGCAUAGCAUGAUACGUCAUUUGCUAUGUCGCCUAAUGGAGGAUGUUUGGUUGUGUCUGCGUGUGCUUAACUGCCUCUGUGCACAUCCCGAUUUCAC
Molecule: unclassified non-coding RNA, 263 nt
Filed under: uncultured fungus
Lineage: Eukaryota; Fungi
Also listed under: 2 other names
Description: sequence contains ITS2
Source: RNAcentral